ACCAGGUGCAGUGGCACGUGCCUGUAAUCCCAGCUACUUUGGAGGCUGAGGCAAGAGGAUCACGAGUCUGAGGCCAGCCUCAGUGAGAUCCUGUCUCAA
RNAcentral lists this small RNA (99 nucleotides) under Marmota monax (woodchuck). Lineage: Eukaryota; Metazoa; Chordata; Mammalia; Rodentia; Sciuridae. The record is from RNAcentral.